RNAcentral lists this long non-coding RNA (543 nucleotides) under Marmota monax (woodchuck). The record is from RNAcentral. Lineage: Eukaryota; Metazoa; Chordata; Mammalia; Rodentia; Sciuridae.
CAGCUGCCGAGCAGCCGGUACAGGCUUGCGGGCGGGGGCGCCGAGGUGGGCCCCGGUAGCGCCCUGCACCCGGGCCUCGCGCCCCGGCGAGGUUCGUGCCCGCGGCCGGCUACGCCGGGCUCGCUCCCCCAGUGCCCUGAGCCGGGCUGGCUGGGCGGGGCGGCGCCCUCCCUCCAGACCCCACGGGGUGCGGGUGUCUCUAAGGUGACACUCCGGUGCGCGGCAGCGGCGGCGGCGGGAGCACGCUCGCCGGCCGGGCUCCGGCUCCGCUCGCACCAGGCUCCGGCCGUCCGGGGGGCGCCCCGACCCUCUCCGAGGACUCCCCCCGGGGCGCGGGAGGAUCCCCGCCGGCCUCUCCCAGGCGUAGCGCCGCGCGGUUCCUGUCGUCUGAGCGCCGGCGUCGCGGGGGACAAGCGGGACCCUGCGCUUCCCUCGCUCCCCGCCCCGCGCCCCCGGCCCAGGCGGACCCGAGACUCUGAACUUUAGCAAGGAACCCCGCAAGGCCGCGGGAGCCUCGGGGAGAAGGCGGCCGCAGGAUGGCCG